GUGAUGGGGCUAGAUCAUUGCAAUUAUUGAUCUUCAACGAGGAAUGCCUAGUAAGCGCGAGUCAUCAGCUCGCGUUGAUUACGUCCCUGCCCUUUGUACACACCGCCCGUCGCUCCUACCGAUUGGGUGUGCUGGUGAGAUGUCGGGAUUAGUGGCUGUGGGCGGUUCGCCGCCCUCUGCCGCUGAGAACCUCAUCAAACCCUCCCACCUAGAGGAAGGAGAAGUCGUAACAAGGUUCCUGUAGGUGAACCUGCAGGAGGAUCAUUG
Molecule: ribosomal RNA, 267 nt
Filed under: uncultured Apatococcus
Lineage: Eukaryota; Viridiplantae; Chlorophyta; Trebouxiophyceae
Description: partial 18S ribosomal RNA
Rfam family: Eukaryotic small subunit ribosomal RNA
Source: RNAcentral